AUCGGUGCUUGCACUGAUCCGAUCGAGUGGCGGACGGGUGAGUAACGCGUGGGUAACCUGCCUCAUACAGGGGAAUAACAGUUGGAAACGGCUGCUAAAACCGCAUAAGCGCACAGCUUCGCAUGAAGCAGUGUGAAAAACUCCGGUGGUACAAGAUGGACCCGCGUCUGAUUAGCUGGUUGGUGAGGUAACGGCCCACCAAGGCGACGAUCAGUAGCCGGCCUGAGAGGGUGAACGGCCACAUUGGGACUGAGACACGGCCCAAACUCC
This 270-nucleotide ribosomal RNA is filed under the name uncultured Eubacteriales bacterium. RNAcentral's name for it is "uncultured Clostridiales bacterium partial 16S ribosomal RNA". It matches the Rfam family "Bacterial small subunit ribosomal RNA", at positions 72 to 339 of the family's 1533-position model. Lineage: Bacteria; Bacillati; Bacillota; Clostridia; Eubacteriales. The record is from RNAcentral.